RNAcentral lists this ribosomal RNA (253 nucleotides) under uncultured bacterium. RNAcentral describes it as "partial 16S ribosomal RNA". It matches the Rfam family "Bacterial small subunit ribosomal RNA", at positions 524 to 776 of the family's 1533-position model. The record is from RNAcentral.
UACAGAGGGGGCUAGCGUUAUUCGGAAUUAUUGGGCGUAAAGGGCGCGUAGGCGGCCAUGCGUGUCUUCCGUGAAAUCCCUCGGCUCAACCGAGGACGUGCGGAAGAAACUGCAAGGCUCGAGUCCGGAAGAGGGGGGCGGAAUUCCCAGUGUAGCGGUGAAAUGCGUAGAUAUUGGGAGGAACACCAGUGGCGAAGGCGGUCCCCUGGGCCGGAACUGACGCUGAGGCGCGAAAGCGUGGGUAGCAAACGGG